AUGUUGAAACAUUCAACUGAUGGAUUAGUUGUAAAAGACAAAAUGAGGGCCACACUUCAAUAUCGUCAGUCACUGGUUCAAGAUCAAGCGUCCUCCUCCUCUUUCUUGGAUGUGUUCCCACGAUUUCUCAACAUCCAUGGUUUGAUUUAACAAGAUUUUGCCAUGUAUGGAGAGGAUGUUUCCGGCAGAUUUUUGUCAAAGUGGCCCACUUUCUUCAAACCCAGGAUCCUGAUGGAGUGUAAAAAUCUAGUCUUUAAUAAUCAAGUAGAAGAGCUCCUGGCUGCACAAAACUCUGACAGACUUGGUUGGGACAGUGACCUCUGUAGCAUUCUACUUUCACAUACUUCCGCCUACUUCCAAAGGACAUAAGAGAGAGCAAAAAUUAGCUCCUCUCAAGCUGUAAACCCUCUUGUAAGAUAUCCGCAGCCAGGAACAAGCUUCCAUGACCUCCUACAAACCACUGACCCUGCUCCAAUGAUGUAACCUUGUCUUGUGAGCAUUGGACAUCCCAGCACAACAUCAACACAUUAUGUCAUGGUGGCUGCCAAUGACUAUGUAGUCAUUCCACUCCAGGAAGAGAGCCUCACCAGCAGUCUGGAUAAACUAUUCAAGUUGUAUUGAGUUUGUAACCUUGCCUAUCCUGUUCAAAUGACCUCAGGCUUCGGGUUCAUUGAGCACAUCUAUGGCCUGCAGAUCUCUGGUGGGAAGAGAUCCAAAAUUGUGGAGCUAGCUGCAAAGCUCCAGGUCUUCUAAGUUAGAUUACCAUGUACAUCUGCCCGGAGUGCAAAAGACAAAUAUCUCGAGAUGCACAUAGGCUCAUUUAUCAUCUCAGACAUGUCCAUGCACUCUCUGAUGGGCAGGACGACUUCUUAAAGGGGAACAUUAUCACCAGACCUAUGUAAGCGUAAAUAUAUACCUUGAUGGUGCAGAAAAAAGACCAUAUAUUUUUUAACCGAUUUUCGAACUCUAAAUGGGUGAAUUUUGGCGAAUUAAACGCCUUUCUGUUUAUCGCUCAUGUGGUGAUGACGUCAGAACGUGACGUCUCCAAGGUAAUACACCCGCCAUUUUCAUUUUCAAAACAUUGCAAACACCGGGUCUCAGCUCUGUUAUUUUCCGUUUUUUCGACUAUUUUUUGGAACCUUGGAGACAUCAUGCCUCGUCGGUGUGUUGGAGGGUGUAACAACACUAACAGGGAGGGAUUCAAGUUGCAUUACUGGCCCGAACAUGUGAAAGUGUCUUCCGCCAGACCCCCAUUGAAUAUGCUGUAGUGUCUCCACAUUUUACCGGCGAUGACAGACAUGGCACAGAGAUGUAUGGAUAACCUGCAGAUGCAUUUGCAACGAUAAAGUCAACUAAAUCACAAAGGUGAGUUUUGUUAAUGUUGAUUGCCAGCUAAUCGAUGCUAACAUGCUACACUAAUCGAUGCUAACAUGCUACGCUAAUCAACGCUAACAUGCUAUUUACUGGCGGUGCUAAAGCAAACAUGGCACAGAGAUGUACGGAUAACCUGCAGAUGCAUUUGCAACGAUAAAGUCAACUAAAUCACAAAGGUGAGUUUUGUUGAUGUUGACUGCCAGCUAAUCGAUGCUAACAUGCUACGCUAAUCUACGCUAACAUGCUAUUUACCGGCGGUGCUAAAGCAGACAUGGCACAGAAAUGUAUGGAUAACCUGCAGAUGCAUUUGCAACUAUAUUACGUUUCCUUCCACCCACAUUUAAUGCAAAAAAAAACCACUUACCAAUCGAGGGAUUUAAGUUGCUCCAGUGUCAAGAGAUGCGAAAGUCCUGAUUGUUUGGUCCGCACAUUUUACUGGUGAUGCUAACGCAGCUAUUCGGCCAUGAUAUGGCUAUGAAUAGCUAUUGUGUCAAUAGCUAUUCGCUCAAUAGCUUCAGUUUCUUCUUCAGUACUUUCAUACUCCAAUCAUCCGUUUCAAUACAUGCAUAAUCUGUUGAAUCGCUUAAACCGCUGAAAUCUGAGUCUGAAUCCGAGCUAAUUUCGCUAUAUCUUGCUGUGGUAUCUGCCAUUGUUUGUUUACAUUGGCAGCACUGUCUGACGUCACAGGGAAAUGGAUAAUUGCAUCGCAAAUAGCGAAAAUCAAGCACUUUGACCGGUAAAAUUUUGAAAAAAAAUACAAGUCACUGGGAACUAAUUUUUUAUUGCUUUUAACCCUUUUGAAAUUGUGAUAAUGUUCCCCUUUAAGUGUGCAGUCAAGACCAAUGCCAAAGAACUUACCACAGUGUAAAUUCGUAUGCAAAACAACUGAAAAGAUUCCAUUCCCAUACUAAUGUCGUUCCAUUUGAAACAGAGGCAGAAAUUAUUACCAGCUCUCAAACUUCAUUAAUCCCCACCUUCUCAGGUGCUUCAGAGACUGAUAUGGAUUGCAGUUUUGACAGUUCGAAUGAUGUUAACACAACUGUGAAUUCUGAUCUCCAAGACCUUAAGAACUCUGCAGCAGCUUUUGUUGCCAAAAUGUAUUCUGCAUCAAAUAGCACUUUAGGUGAUUUUCAGAAAAGUAUCACUUGCACAAAAGAGUUACUUGAGAAAACACUGGAUUGUUUAAAAGAAAAGACUGUAUGUUCUUAACAAGUGUGAAUCUUUGGAGAGACAGUGUGUAUUGUUCCCUUUUCUGACCGAGAUGAAGUAUUCAUUUUGUUGAGAGUUCUGAAUGUUAAGUAUUUUGAUGACCACCUUCACACCUAUGUGAUUGAAAACACAAAUUAAUUUCAAGUGAUUAAUAUGAAAGAUGCAACUGAUGCUUUGCCACUUGAUGUAUAUGAGCUGAGAGAUUCGGAAUUGCACUUACUGACAAGAUACAGACUUAUUUCCUAAAUGUUGUGACUUGUGUAAAUGGUAAAUGUAAAGAACACAAGCAAUUAUUGAAUUAAAUGCCAAUUAAAUUGCAA
Nerophis ophidion (straightnose pipefish) is the source of this 2903-nucleotide long non-coding RNA. RefSeq lists it as uncharacterized. The record is from RefSeq and is a predicted model, not a curated record. The transcript is spliced from 4 exons. NCBI's taxonomy places the organism in Eukaryota, Metazoa, Chordata, Actinopteri, Syngnathiformes, Syngnathidae.